UACGUAGGGUCCGAGCGUUGUCCGGAGUUACUGGGCGUAAAGGGCGCGCAGGUGGCGGUGCUGGCCCGGCGUGAAAGCCCCCGGCUCAACCGGGGAGGGUCGUCGGGGACCGCACCGCUUGAGGGCGGUAGGGGCUGGUGGAAUGCCUGGUGUAGUGGUGAAAUGCGUAGAGAUCAGGCGGAACACCCGUAGCGAAGGCGGCCAGCUGGGCCGACCCUGACACUGAGGCGCGAAGGCGUGGGGAGCAAACAGG
RNAcentral lists this ribosomal RNA (253 nucleotides) under uncultured bacterium. Its description in RNAcentral is "partial 16S ribosomal RNA". It matches the Rfam family "Bacterial small subunit ribosomal RNA", at positions 524 to 776 of the family's 1533-position model. The record is from RNAcentral.